Molecule: ribosomal RNA, 449 nt
Filed under: uncultured bacterium
Lineage: Bacteria
Description: partial 16S ribosomal RNA
Rfam family: Bacterial small subunit ribosomal RNA
Source: RNAcentral
AACGAACGCUGGCGGCAUGCCUAACACAUGCAAGUCGAACGAACCCGUCGGGGUUAGAGGCGCACGGGUGCGUAACGCGUGGGAAUCUGCCCUUUGCUUCGGAAUAACAGUUAGAAAUGACUGCUAAUACCGGAUGAUGUCUUCGGACCAGAGAUUUAUCGGCAAGGGAUGAGCCCGCGUAGGAUUAGGUAGUUGGUGUGGUAAAGGCCUACCAAGCCGACGAUCCUUAGCUGGUCUGAGAGGAUGAUCAGCCACACUGGGACUGAGACACGGCCCAGACUCCUACGGGGGGCAGCAGUGGGGAAUAUUGGACAAUGGGCGCAAGCCUGAUCCAGCAAUGCCGCGUGAGUGAUGAAGGCCUUCGGGUCGUAAAGCUCUUUUACCAGGGAUGAUAAUGACAGUACCUGGAGAAUAAGCUCCGGCUAACUCCGUGCCAGCCGCCGCAGUAA